This 236-nucleotide ribosomal RNA is filed under the name uncultured bacterium. RNAcentral's name for it is "partial 16S ribosomal RNA". It matches the Rfam family "Bacterial small subunit ribosomal RNA", at positions 100 to 339 of the family's 1533-position model. The record is from RNAcentral.
GAACGGGUGAGUAAUACAUCGGAACGUGUCCAGUAGCGGGGGAUAACCUGUCGAAAGAUAGGCUAAUACCGCAUACGACCUACGGGUGAAAGCGGGGGACCGCAAGGCCUCGCACUAUUGGAGCGGCCGAUGUCGGAUUAGCUAGUUGGCGGGGUAACGGCCCACCAAGGCGACGAUCCGUAGCUGGUCUGAGAGGACGACCAGCCACACUGGAACUGAGACACGGUCCAGACUCC